GGUUAAGCGACUAAGCGUACACGGUGGAUGCCCUGGCAGUCAGAGGCGAUGAAGGACGUGCUAAUCUGCGAAAAGCGUCGGUAAGGUGAUAUGAACCGUUAUAACCGGCGAUGUCCGAAUGGGGAAACCCAGUGCAAUUCGUUGCACUAUCGUUAACUGAAUACAUAGGUUAACGAGGCGAACCGGGGGAACUGAAACAUCUAAGUACCCCGAGGAAAAGAAAUCAACCGAGAUUCCCCCAGUAGCGGCGAGCGAACGGGGAGCAGCCCAGAGUCUGAAUCAGCUUGUGUGUUAGUGGAACGGUCUGGAAAGUCCGACGGUACAGGGUGAUAGUCCCGUACACCAAAAUGCACAGGCUGUGAACUCGAAGAGUAGGGCGGGACACGUGGUAUCCUGUCUGAAUAUGGGGGGACCAUCCUCCAAGGCUAAAUACUCCUGACUGACCGAUAGUGAACCAGUACCGUGAGGGAAAGGCGAAAAGAACCCCGGCGAGGGGAGUGAAAAAGAACCUGAAACCGUGUACGUACAAGCAGUGGGAGCACCUUCGGGUGUGACUGCGUACCUUUUGUAUAAUGGGUCAGCGACUUAUAUUCUGUAGCAAGGUUAACCGUAUAGGGGAGCCGCAGGGAAACCGAGUCUUAACUGGGCGUUAAGUUGCAGGGUAUAGACCCGAAACCCGGUGAUCUAGCCAUGGGCAGGUUGAAGGUUGGGUAACACUAACUGGAGGACCGAACCGACUAAUGUUGAAAAAUUAGCGGAUGACUUGUGGCUGGGGGUGAAAGGCCAAUCAAACCGGGAGAUAGCUGGUUCUCCCCGAAAGCUAUUUAGGUAGCGCCUCGUGAACUCAUCUUCGGGGGUAGAGCACUGUUUCGGCUAGGGGGUCAUCCCGACUUACCAACCCGAUGCAAACUACGAAUACCGAAGAAUGUUAUCACGGGAGACACACGGCGGGUGCUAACGUCCGUCGUGAAGAGGGAAACAACCCAGACCGCCAGCUAAGGUCCCAAAGUCAUGGUUAAGUGGGAAACGAUGUGGGAAGGCACAGACAGCCAGGAUGUUGGCUUAGAAGCAGCCAUCAUUUAAAGAAAGCGUAAUAGCUCACUGGUCGAGUCGGCCUGCGCGGAAGAUGUAACGGGGCUAAACCAUGCACCGAAGCUGCGGCAGCGACACUAUGUGUUGUUGGGUAGGGGAGCGUUCUGUAAGCCUGCGAAGGUGUGCUGUGAGGCAUGCUGGAGGUAUCAGAAGUGCGAAUGCUGACAUAAGUAACGAUAAAGCGGGUGAAAAGCCCGCUCGCCGGAAGACCAAGGGUUCCUGUCCAACGUUAAUCGGGGCAGGGUGAGUCGACCCCUAAGGCGAGGCCGAAAGGCGUAGUCGAUGGGAAACAGGUUAAUAUUCCUGUACUUGGUGUUACUGCGAAGGGGGGACGGAGAAGGCUAUGUUAGCCGGGCGACGGUUGUCCCGGUUUAAGCAUGUAGGCUGUGUUGUCCAGGCAAAUCCGGAUAAUCAAGGCUGAGGUGUGAUGACGAGGCACUACGGUGCUGAAGUAACAAAUGCCCUGCUUCCAGGAAAAGCCUCUAAGCAUCAGGUAACAUCAAAUCGUACCCCAAACCGACACAGGUGGUCAGGUAGAGAAUACCAAGGCGCUUGAGAGAACUCGGGUGAAGGAACUAGGCAAAAUGGUGCCGUAACUUCGGGAGAAGGCACGCUGGUGUGUAGGUGAAGUCCCUGCGGAUGGAGCUGAGACCAGUCGAAGAUACCAGCUGGCUGCAACUGUUUAUUAAAAACACAGCACUGUGCAAACACGAAAGUGGACGUAUACGGUGUGACGCCUGCCCGGUGCCGGAAGGUUAAUUGAUGGGGUUAUCCGUAAGGAGAAGCUCUUGAUCGAAGCCCCGGUAAACGGCGGCCGUAACUAUAACGGUCCUAAGGUAGCGAAAUUCCUUGUCGGGUAAGUUCCGACCUGCACGAAUGGCGUAAUGAUGGCCAGGCUGUCUCCACCCGAGACUCAGUGAAAUUGAACUCGCUGUGAAGAUGCAGUGUACCCGCGGCAAGACGGAAAGACCCCGUGAACCUUUACUAUAGCUUGACACUGAACAUUGAGCCUUGAUGUGUAGGAUAGGUGGGAGGCUUUGAAGCGUGGACGCCAGUCUGCGUGGAGCCAACCUUGAAAUACCACCCUUUAAUGUUUGAUGUUCUAACGUUGGCCCCUGACCGGGGUUGCGGACAGUGUCUGGUGGGUAGUUUGACUGGGGCGGUCUCCUCCCAAAGCGUAACGGAGGAGCACGAAGGUUAGCUAAUCCUGGUCGGACAUCAGGAGGUUAGUGCAAUGGCAUAAGCUAGCUUGACUGCGAGCGUGACGGCGCGAGCAGGUGCGAAAGCAGGUCAUAGUGAUCCGGUGGUUCUGAAUGGAAGGGCCAUCGCUCAACGGAUAAAAGGUACUCCGGGGAUAACAGGCUGAUACCGCCCAAGAGUUCAUAUCGACGGCGGUGUUUGGCACCUCGAUGUCGGCUCAUCACAUCCUGGGGCUGAAGUAGGUCCCAAGGGUAUGGCUGUUCGCCAUUUAAAGUGGUACGCGAGCUGGGUUUAGAACGUCGUGAGACAGUUCGGUCCCUAUCUGCCGUGGGCGCUGGAGAAUUGAGGGGGGCUGCUCCUAGUACGAGAGGACCGGAGUGGACGCAUCACUGGUGUUCGGGUUGUCAUGCCAAUGGCACUGCCCGGUAGCUAAAUGCGGAAGAGAUAAGUGCUGAAAGCAUCUAAGCACGAAACUUGCCCCGAGAUGAGUUCUCCCUGAGACUUUAAGUCUCCUGAAGGAACGUUAAAGACGAUGACGUUGAUAGGCCGGGUGUGUAAGCGCAGCGAUGCGUUGAGCUAACCGGUACUAAUGAACCGUGAGGCUUAACCUU
Molecule: ribosomal RNA, 2903 nt
Filed under: Klebsiella pneumoniae
Lineage: Bacteria; Pseudomonadati; Pseudomonadota; Gammaproteobacteria; Enterobacterales; Enterobacteriaceae
Description: 23S ribosomal RNA
Rfam family: Bacterial large subunit ribosomal RNA
Source: RNAcentral